UAAUACGUAGGGGGCUAGCGUUGUCCGGAAUCAUUGGGCGUAAAGAGCGUGUAGGCGGUCCGGUAAGUCCGUUGUGAAAGUCAAGGGCUCAACCCUUGAAUGCCGGCGGAUACUGUCGGGCUAGAGUCCGGAAGAGGCAAGUGGAAUUCCCGGUGUAGCGGUGAAAUGCGCAGAUAUCGGGAGGAACACCUAUGGCGAAGGCAGCUUGCUGGGACGGAACUGACGCUG
RNAcentral lists this ribosomal RNA (228 nucleotides) under uncultured bacterium. RNAcentral's name for it is "partial 16S ribosomal RNA". It matches the Rfam family "Bacterial small subunit ribosomal RNA", at positions 521 to 748 of the family's 1533-position model. The record is from RNAcentral.